This is a non-coding RNA of Phascolarctos cinereus (koala), 1485 nucleotides long. NCBI's taxonomy places the organism in Eukaryota, Metazoa, Chordata, Mammalia, Diprotodontia, Phascolarctidae. The record is from RefSeq and is a predicted model, not a curated record.
UGUGAAGGACUUGUACGUACAAAAUAUUUAUAGCAGCAUUUUUUGUUGUAGCAAAGACCUGGAGAUAAAGAAAUGGUUAUUAAUCGGCAAAUGGCUGAACACAUGAAUGUAAUGGGAUAUUAUGUAAGAAAUUAUGAAAGGGCUGGGCACAGUGGUACAUUCCUGUAAUUCCUGCUGCGAGAGAGGCUGAAGCAAGGGGAUCUUGGGCUGAGGAGUUCUGAGGAGCACAGGGCUAAAGCUGAUUGUUGUCCACACAAAGUCUGGUAUGAACGUGUGGCCCCAGGAGUGGUAUGAGGGGAAGGAGUGGGAGACACUGAGCUGCCUAUGGAGGAGUAAACUGGCCCAGUCUCCUGCAGUACAGCGGAAAAGGGCAUGAGAUUCAUCUGUGAAGCUGGGAAAAGAAGAAGCAGCUACGUCACAGGAUAGGUCUACCCCUACAGCCCAACUCCAGGACUCCUUCCACUGCUGUGACAAGAGAUUUUUGUUAUUUGUCCUUCGUUCUCAAAGAGGACCAUGACAUCAGUCAUGAAAAAUGGAAGCUCUGUGCCACUGACCGUGGAGGCCUACCUGGGAGUCACAUGUGUUAACACCAGUUUUAGAAGAUACAUGGAAAAAGAUGCGUGGUUGACUAAAUAGCCCCUUCCUUCUUAAGUGUGCAAAAUUUUGGGCCUACCAACACUUGUGAGCAAACAGCCACCCCAGCAAAUAUGUGCACCUGCUCUUGCCUAAUUGCAGGCUCCCUUAUUCACUCCCAGGCACAAUUAGCCACCUGCCGGGCCGGGGGAACAAGCUAGUGGAUGACGGUGCAUGCAAUUAGCAAAUUGCGGGCCCUACCAUUUCCUAUAUAAAAUGCAAUGUAAAGAAGGUUCUCUUUCAAGCUUUUUGCUGCAUAUCCCCUGAGUGGGGAAUCUACAGGACAGUUAAAAAACAAAUGUUUCCUAAAGCAAAAACUCAAUUUCUGUGGGGAUCUCAAAGCCCAGCUUCUGGAUGCCUGCAAUGGGACAUCUGCACCUUCGGGUAAUGCAUUCUUUGAAUAUAUACAAAGGUCUGAAGUUAUAAGCAACAUAUCACCAAUCUGGUUAAAAAGUAUCCCAGGAUUAACCUGGAUAAUCUCACAACCUGUUAUAAUGCCAAUUCUGUAAGUAUUAAUUGGGUACAACAACGCAUAUGCAACCUAAGGGCCCAAUGGGUCUCUUAUAAUAAUGUCUAAAAUUUUGUUGACUGGCCCUGGGCAAAUGGAUUUCUUUCUCCAAGCCUCAGCUUCCUCAUCUGCUAAAAUGAAGCAGGUGAACUAAUCCUCUUUCAUCUCCAACACUUCCAGGAUUCCAUCAACAGGCACACAAGUGACAUGGGUGAAAUAGUCAAGAGGAAGUUCAUAUUGUAAAAAAGGCUUCUCCUUGGCCUUCUGCCCAUGCAAUGGGCUCUCCAUCUCUGGUCCCAUGCACUUGUACCUUCUACAAAGGGUUCUGAACCUUUUUUUUUUUG